Molecule: long non-coding RNA, 5697 nt
Filed under: Podarcis lilfordi (Lilford's wall lizard)
Lineage: Eukaryota; Metazoa; Chordata; Lepidosauria; Squamata; Lacertidae
Source: RNAcentral
UCUUCCACACCAGGUGACACAUAUUCUUUUUCAAUUUGAAGUAUUGUAAUUAUUUCUACAUUUGCAGCUAUGCCUAUAAAUUAACAUAUGCAAAUUUAUUCUGUGUCCUUUUUUUUGGUCCUCUUUUUUGGUGGCAUAAUUAAUGAAGUGGCUCUCCUGAGUAAUUAUGAUGAUGCAGAUUUAAAGUGUUCAAAGCGCUUCACAAACAAUGUCUCAGUUAUCUAAUGAAUCUAAUUUUAUUUUAUUUUUAAAAAAUUACCUUUUCAGUUGAAAUAACUGGGGGGGGGGUGGGAAUCAUAGUAAGCAUCAUUUGUGAAAACAGCCUCAAAGAAACAUCCUGAUCCACUCAAAGCAGGCCCAGUGUGAAGGAUCUGAACAUACGGCACUUCUUCAAGCCAAGUGUCAGUUCCUUAACAUUCCUUAACAUUUGCCAUAUCUGUUUCUAAGAGAAGGCAGACAUUUUGCUAGGCGCAGCUGAGUGGGAUUCCUGCCCUGUACUGAGAGCACUGAAUUUAACCUUUCACUUUGGUUGCCAAGGCAAACUCUAAAAGAUCCUGCAACAUUUUCUGGCAAGCAGAUAAAAGAACUCCAGUGGCAUCGCCAAAAAGUCCACCCUUUCAUGGAUACAGUUUAUAACUAUUGUUGACUACAUGAACUUUUGCUGCGACUAUAGCAGCUAGUUGGAGUUAGGGACGAGCGAAUCCGACCUUUUUGGUUUCUCUCCUCUGUCACACCUUCCAUUCAUCCCAUUUCCUCAUCAAUCUGCGGUUCAUUUAUCUAUUUUAAAGACUGCAUGGAAAGCCAUAUGCAUUUUCCUGUGCAUAAUACAGUGGUACCUCAGGCUAAGCACUUACAGUAAUUUGUUCCGGAGGUCCGUUCUUAACCUGAAACUGUUCUUAACCUGAAGCACCACUUUAGCUAAUAGGGCCUCCUGCUGCCGCCACACGAUUUCUGUUCUCAUCCUGAAGCAAAGUUCUUAACCCGAGGUACUAUUUCUGGGUUAGUGGAGUCUGUAACCUGAAGCAUAUGUAACCCUAGGUACCACUGUACACAUUUUGAAAAGCCAUUUCCCCUAACAGAGUGCAUUUUUGUACGUUCUAAGGGAGCUAACAGAUCAGUUUUUACUAAUGCAUUUUAGUGCAAGUUUUCUAAUAUAGGCCAUGCACUUGGUGUGUUGGGGUGGAAAACUGCAUAGCAAAAUUCAGAUAAGUGCGAAUUUUGAAGGAAGAGCUGUGUUUCAAUCCAUGUACAGUGGUACCUCGGUUUACAAACUUAAUCCGUUCCAGAAGUCCGUUGUUAAACUGAAUCCAUUCUUAAAUUGAGGCGCUCCUUCCCUAAGGAGGCCUUCCACCAUUCGGAUUCCGUUCUUAGACCAAGGUAAAGUUCUCAAACCAAGACACUAUUUCCAGUUUUGCGGAGUUUGUAAGCCAAACUCUUAAAACCGUAUUGUUCUUAAACUGAGGUACCACUGUAUUGAAUCAUAGAAUCAUAAAGUUGAAUGGGACCCUGAGGAUCAACCCCCUGAAAUACAGGAAUUUGCAGCUGUCCCUUUUGUGGAUCAAACCUGUGACCUUGGGAGUUAUCAGCACCAACUGAGCUGCCCUUCAAUAUUUUGGUGCAGGAAGUGUGAAUCUUCUCUGUUUCAUUUCAGUUUUAGUAUAUGCACUACUGAAAUGAGCACAGAAGUGUGAAUUAGGUAGAUUUUCAAAUUAUAAUGUGAAGCAAACAAAUUCCUCUCCCCUCCCUGGUUGUGGUUGGUGAAUAAAGGCAAUACCACCAAACUGCAUUGGGCUGCAUGAUUUAGUUGCCACACACUUAACUUUUUUUAAAAAAAUCUGAUACUCUUGCUAGAAUUGCCUUCAUGUAAGGAAGCCUUUUCAGAGUUUGAAAAAUUAGAUAUGCAGCAGUUUUCUGUGUACUACAUAUUUCAUUCUAAGCCGCUCUUGUCAUCUUGAUCAACAGAUAUCUUACAAACACCAAAGAUUUCUGAUAAUAAACUAUGAAUUUUAACCAGAGGAUAUGGGCAAAAUUCAACAUUAAUCCUACUCAGAUUAGACCCAUUGAAAUAAAUAGACUUGCAACUAAUUUCGGCACGUUAAUUUCAAUAGUUUACUCUGAGUAGAACUUCUGGCUACAACCCUAUUGUUUUUAUGUGGCAGAAAUAAUAUCAGUCAGAAAAGAUAAUCUAAUAUUGCUGCAGCACGUGAACCUUGGCAAGAGGAGGCAAAGUCAAUUCAUUCUUUUGAAGCAGCGUAAUUGAUGGUUUUCCCUAUAUCCUACUUGUAGUAUUGUACCUGGGUAUUUACCAUGUUUUGUAUGGUAAAUGGGUAUGGUGUGUUGCAUUUUCUCUUUUAAAGUUUGUUGCUUUUUACACCACACAUGUAAAAGACAUCGCCUUAGGAAUCUUACAGCAAACUUCCUUGUUGAAGUGAAUACUUUAACUAUUAGGGAACCUUUCCUCCCCUGCAAUCCUCCUCAGUAAGGAUCAUACACUCACUGAGAAAGAAGAAAGAGGGGUUUGGACCUCAUGAACCAGCCAGGCACGUGUUUUUAAUUACCUCUCUCUAUCCAGGCUCCAGUUUGUAGAAUGAACUGGUUGGACGCUGUUAAUGGGGUGUGGACUUCUUUGUUGUUGCUGAAAGUACUUUUACAGAGUUUGGUUUGCAAAGUUCCCAAAUGCCAAUACUUUUAAGAAAAACAAAACUAUCGCCCGUGUGAACAAUAUGCCCAGUGGUUCCAGAAGCCAGCGGUUUGUCUCUUUCCUAGCCAAAGUGUUUUAUGCGCUUACACAGGGAGGGGGUGUGGAUAAGGAAUAAGCACAUAAAUUGCCCCUGGAAGCAAUUUCUUCCAUGGCUAUCUUUAUCUGUCUUAUCUAUUCCUAAAGGGACAGAAUAUAUAGAUUCUAAUCAGGCCUGCCUGUUCGUGUCAGGCAUUUCAACAAGGCCGGAGGGGGAAAGAGAGACUCUGCCUCCUCGCAUCCAGAACUUUGCCUUUGUGUACAGAACAUUCCCUAAAGGGAAAUCUCCUUCACUUCCUCAGAUCAGAGCGGGGAAUAUUGAUAUGCAUGGUCGGACUCUGUAGGUCUGCAUUUUGAAAACGGACCACUGGCGAGAGAAAGAGAGACAGAGAGAUGUAUGGCCCAAUUUUCACACAACCAAGUGUUUCCUGCUGCGUUGUUUUAAAACUGCAGAUGUGUGACUGUCUAAACAGAUAGCCUUUUAAGGGUUUUGCCAAUAAUCUGUAGAUGGAGUUGAUUUGCUUGCAAAGUCCCCAAGGAUUGGAGAAGAAUCAAACUAUUUCAAAUAUGAAUUUCUGAGGCCAGUUUCCUAAACAGGCAUGUGGAGAGGGGUGAUCCAGCAGUAGGGGUAUAUUUGAACUCCCUCACCGAACGUUCCUGAGAUAACUUUGCAGUAAUAGGAUAAAAGGACUGUCCCGCCUUUGGUUCUGUGACUGUUAAGAGAACAGGAAACAGAGAGGAGGAAUAAAUGGACAAUUCUCACAAAGGAGGGAAUAAAAAAGUAGGGUCUCCCCCAAAAACAUUAUUUAAACAUUCAUAAAUGAUUCCUUGUGGACCAGAUUCGUUCCCCUCUCACAGGGACAGGGCGGCCCGGCCUGUUUCGCCACCUGAGGAAAAAUGAGAAUUGCUGCCUACUUCUGCACCCCACUUCUGAAGCCAUGACAUCCCAACUCUUGUGGAACUCAGCAAAAGUUGGGGUGUUCCUCAAAGUGUUACUUCUCAGCUUUUCCCCCCCACAAGUGGGCAGAGGAUACAAGUAGCAUACAAGAACACCCCAGCUCUUGCUGAACUUAGUGAUGUUUUCUGCUCUGAUUCUUUGCCCUGUGUGGGGGGGGGAGAUGAGUGCCUUCACAGGUAUGGCUUGGAUCUAGCACACCACCCUUCUGUAACCAGAAGGGUUCUUUCCGUCUGCGCAUGGAGCUUACAUCCAGUGGAGUCUCAUGGAAAAGGGCAGUGGAAGGACGAUUUUCACCCAUUCUUCUCACAGCUUGCUAUGAUUCUGUGCCAACCACUGCCACUGUUCUGAAGGGUCCUUCAAACCUCUGGAGAGAAUUUUCAAGAGUACUAAGGGGCUGCAGGGAGAAAGGGGGAGGGGGCGGAAUCACCAAAAAUCACCUCUUCUCUCCUUUUUGUGAGCAGAACUCAAGGCAUCUGGUUCUAGUACAGGGGCAACAGCAGAAGAUGUUGAGAUUUCUGUUCCACCUUAAGGAACAGACAUGGGAUUGUUACACGUCACAUGUCUGUUUACAUUCCAGCACAGCUUGCUGGGAACUUCCGUUGUGUAUAGCUUUUGCUUUUCCCUGUUCUGAGAAGAGAGAACAGUUCUGAGUCUGAGACGGGGAGAGAGAGAGACAACAUGUUUCUUUGUCCUGAUUUAUGAUUAAUAAAUCUGUAGUUGUAGUAUGCUUCCACAAGCCUCACACCUAUUCUGUGUGCGCAGUUCGCUCUGCUGAUAGUGUGCCCUGGCUUUGAAGCCCGGGUCGCUGAUUUACAUCAGAGCAGACUGAAGUGGGAAGACUGGAAGGAGACGGCCCAGCUGGGGCUAGCCAGCUGGCCUUCCGACCCUCUGCAUGCCAACAGAAAAUGCCUAUUUUCGGGUCACCACCCUACGAUAUUCUGUAGGGUUCAGUAGUGCCAUGGUUGGAAGACCCCCAAAUGAUCUAAGUGUCUGUACGGGGCAGGUAGUCUCUGUUACUUACUUAGGACUAGCAGAAAUCUGCACAAUGAGCCAUAACAGGGCUUUCCCCCUUCUAACACCAUUGGCUCUGGCGGUUGGGAGAGCCCCAAUAACAGUAUAUAGGGGGAAGGAGAGGGGAGGGUGUUCCAUAUGACUACAUUCAAGCCAAUCAGAAGUCAGAGGCUUCUAUACUCCCUGCUUCUUCUUCCUUUAUAAUCACUUCAUCUUCCAUCCACCCAUCCAAGCAAGCAAGAGGCAUUAUUGUCAUUCAUUAUCACAUUCCAGUGGCGCAUGCAUCAAGGACUAUUGAUUGAUACCUGGCACAAUCGUGUGUGGUCAGUUGCAUUAGCUGAGAAACUCACUUGUCAGAUUAGAGCAGCUAAGAUAUGUAACACUUUCUAUGCAGUCUGGCACCUUUGUACAAAGGGAGAACCCCAGUCACACAGCAAUCACUGGAGAGAUUUGUUGGGUGAUCGAUCAAAUAUUUUAUGCAUGCCAUUCUUGGGCAUAAGACAAAACACGUGUUGGACUUUCAUUCUAAUACUUGUUACAAAGGUUGGAUUUGCACUCAUGCAAGCUUCAAUUGAAAACAACAACACAACAUUCCAGCCAGGCAAGAGCACUUGAGGAGACACAGACCAAGACUGUGUUAAAGAUAUGAGUUUAAUGUAAAUAUAUAAAUGCAGCAAAGUAAAGGUGGAAGUUUCCAUUCAGUUUAAUUGAUGACUCAUCCCAGAACCCUGAGCUGCAAUCUCUCUGUCAGCAGAAUAUGAAACCUGAGAACUCAGCAUCCAAGUCCAAGCUCAGCAAUGUGGAUAUAAGCAACUUGCUUGUAUAGGAUCUCUCUCUGGGACCAGAGAGAGGAAAGUUAUUGAACUUCAUAAAGGACUUAAAGACGAGAAGGCCGCAUUGCUUUCUGUUUAAGAGCCAUGUGUUACUUUGUAUUCUGCAAUGUUUACUUGUAACUAUUUUAAGACCAUUCUGCAAUAAAGCUUUGGAACUC